RNAcentral lists this ribosomal RNA (500 nucleotides) under Curtobacterium flaccumfaciens. RNAcentral's name for it is "bacterial SSU rRNA". It matches the Rfam family "Bacterial small subunit ribosomal RNA", at positions 60 to 573 of the family's 1533-position model. Lineage: Bacteria; Bacillati; Actinomycetota; Actinomycetes; Micrococcales; Microbacteriaceae. The record is from RNAcentral.
AGUCGACGAUGAUGCCCAGCUUGCUGGGUGGAUUAGUGGCGAACGGGUGAGUAACACGUGUGUAACCUGCCCCUGACUCUGGGAUAAGCGUUGGAAACGACGUCUAAUACUGGAUAUGAUCACUGGCCGCAUGGUCUGGUGGUGGAAAGAUUUUUUGGUUGGGGAUGGACUCGCGGCCUAUCAGCUUGUUGGUGAGGUAAUGGCUCACCAAGGCGACGACGGGUAGCCGGCCUGAGAGGGUGACCGGCCACACUGGGACUGAGACACGGCCCAGACUCCUACGGGAGGCAGCAGUGGGGAAUAUUGCACAAUGGGCGAAAGCCUGAUGCAGCAACGCCGCGUGAGGGAUGACGGCCUUCGGGUUGUAAACCUCUUUUAGUAGGGAAGAAGCGAAAGUGACGGUACCUGCAGAAAAAGCACCGGCUAACUACGUGCCAGCAGCCGCGGUAAUACGUAGGGUGCAAGCGUUGUCCGGAAUUAUUGGGCGUAAAGAGCUCGUA